RNAcentral lists this ribosomal RNA (253 nucleotides) under uncultured bacterium. RNAcentral describes it as "partial 16S ribosomal RNA". It matches the Rfam family "Bacterial small subunit ribosomal RNA", at positions 524 to 776 of the family's 1533-position model. The record is from RNAcentral.
UACAUAGGGUACAAGCGUUGUCCGGAAUUAUUGGGCGUAAAGAGCUCGUAGGUGGUUGGUCGCGUCUGCUGUGGAAACGCAACGCUUAACGUUGCGCGUGCAGUGGGUACGGGCUGACUAGAGUGCAGUAGGGGAGUCUGGAAUUCCUGGUGUAGCGGUGAAAUGCGCAGAUAUCAGGAGGAACACCGGUGGCGAAGGCGGUUCUCUGGGCCUUACCUGACGCUGAGGAGCGAAAGCAUGGGGAGCAAACAGG